Molecule: ribosomal RNA, 254 nt
Filed under: uncultured bacterium
Lineage: Bacteria
Description: partial 16S ribosomal RNA
Rfam family: Bacterial small subunit ribosomal RNA
Source: RNAcentral
UACGUAGGGUGCAAGCGUUAAUCGGAAUUACUGGGCGUAAAGCGUGCGCAGGCGGUUUUGUAAGUCUGUCGUGAAAUCCCCGGGCUCAACCUGGGAAUUGCGAUGGAGACUGCAAGGCUAGAAUCUGGCAGAGGGGGGUAGAAUUCCACGUGUGAGCAGUGAAAUGCGUAGAGAUGUGGAGGAAUACCGAUGGCGAAGGCAGCCUCCUGGGCCAACACUGACGCUCAUGCACGAAAGCGUGGGGAGCAAACAGG